GCUGAACGCUGGCGGCGUGCUUAACACAUGCAAGUCGAACGAAGCAUUUAAGACAGAUUACUUCGGUUUGAAGUCUUUUAUGACUGAGUGGCGGACGGGUGAGUAACGCGUGGGUAACCUGCCUCAUACAGGGGGAUAGCAGCUGGAAACGGCUGGUAAUACCGCAUAAGCGCACAGUACCACAUGGUACAGUGUGAAAAACUCCGGUGGAAUGAGAUGGACCCGCGUCUGAUUAGCUUGUUGGCGGGGUAACGGCCUACCAAGGCGACGAUCAGUAGCCGACCAGUGAGGGUGACCGGCCACAUUGGGACUGAGACACGGCCCAGACUCCUACGGGAGGCAGCAGUGGGGAAUAUUGCACAAUGGAGGAAACUCUGAUGCAGCGACGCCGCGUGAGUGAAGAAGUAGUUCGCUAUGUAAAGCUCUAUCAGCAGGGAAGAUAGUGACGGUACCUGAGUAAGAAGCUGGGGAUAAAUACGUG
RNAcentral lists this ribosomal RNA (481 nucleotides) under uncultured bacterium. Its description in RNAcentral is "partial 16S ribosomal RNA". It matches the Rfam family "Bacterial small subunit ribosomal RNA", at positions 28 to 507 of the family's 1533-position model. The record is from RNAcentral.